CCUCCCUUGCCCGUACGUCUUCUCUUCCUUUAUUUAUUAUUUUUCUGUUAAUAUUUUAACCACCGUACAUAGCACAAUUAAGCAAAACAAAAAGUCCAUAAAAAUACUCAUUUUAUGAUUUUGACACUAGCUUUAUUAAUCAGCAUGAAUAAACAAUUGGUAAUGACAAUAAAGAAUUAUGCAUGAAAUUAGGUUAAAAUUGAAUGUGAAAUGUGUUACUGUUGGAGACCCUGGCAUCCCUCCACCAGCCACGUUCUUUUCUGUAACCGUACUUAUGGCUUAACCGAAAAAGUUUUAAACACCCAAAACGAAAAGUCUUAGUGCAGUCCAUUUUCGUACCAAAGGAAAUAAGUGUAUUCCAUGAUAAUCCAUGUGACUUGAGAUUGUAGCAUUAGGAUUUUCCUCCUUUUGUAUUUAAUUUUAGUUAAAUUUAUUUGCUUUCUUUACAUCUUCACCAUUCAAAGUGACUAGCAUCGUGUCCGAUGCAGUGGAAAAUUUGACUAGCUUUUCUUUGGUUCAAUGCAGUGGAAUCCGUAGGAAGAAGACCCUAGCACUGGCAAAUGGGUCCCUAGGGGAUAGGAAUAGGAUUUGCCAGAUCUUUCACUUAUAUUUUAGGGUGUGGAUGUGGCCCAGAAUAUAAGAUAUCAUUAAGAUAAAGAAGUCAGUAAUUUAUGGCUGCUAGGUCUUUUAUUAAAUAGUUUUUAGCUGGUUUGAUGACGCCAGAGGUAGGUUUUCGAGGUGCGUUGUUGUCUUUAUUGAAGGAAAUACCAUGGGUUGCAUGGCAACCCAUAGAUUGGCAACCCUUAGGCUCACUGGUGGGUUGCUCUUCUUUGAUGCAGUGGUUCACCACGUGUACUCUCUAGUGUUACAAGUUGAAUUUUUUAUAUUGUCAACCAGUCAAUCUCCAAGAGUAGAAUCCACCUCUGUUGAUUGGUGAUGAGCAACGUAGAUGAUCGUCUUUUAAAAAUUUUAAUCUAUAUUCCCACUUUCUCUUAAGCAUAAUAGGGUCCAGUUAAGUGAUUCAGCAAAAUCUAAAAAAGUGUCAAGAAGUUGGUGAGAUCCCUACAUGAUUGAUAUGAUUAAAAAAAGGGCAAGUGCCAAAUUGGUAGAAAUGGUAAAGACGGACCGCUGAAACAGUGCUAUGCAAAAUUUCUAAAUCUUACAGUUGAGUAUUUAUUUUAUAAUUAAUGUUGAUUAACUCCUUUAAUAAGGAGACUACUUUGAAGAGGAAAAUGACAAAAGCUAGCAUAACACAAAUAUAGAGAAAUAUUAUAAUUUUUAAUUAAUUAAGGAUACUGACUAGGUGUAGCAAAUUCUAAUGAUAACAUUAGUGAUCAAAGUUUUAAAGUGAAUAAUUUGAACUUGUGAGUAUAUAAAAAGAUGAAUAAUUGAGAGGAAAGUUUUUGAUAAGGGCAUUUUAAUUCAAAAAAUAUUAUUAUGUAAGUUUCAUGAAAUUCAUUUCAAAUUCUAUCAAAU
Molecule: unclassified non-coding RNA, 1476 nt
Filed under: Hevea brasiliensis (rubber tree)
Lineage: Eukaryota; Viridiplantae; Streptophyta; Magnoliopsida; Malpighiales; Euphorbiaceae
Source: RNAcentral